RNAcentral lists this unclassified non-coding RNA (378 nucleotides) under uncultured Chlamydiales bacterium. RNAcentral describes it as "contains 16S-23S intergenic spacer region". Lineage: Bacteria; Pseudomonadati; Chlamydiota; Chlamydiia; Chlamydiales. The record is from RNAcentral.
UCCUGGUUAACCCAGGCAGUCUCGUUAGAGUUCCCGACUUGACUCGUUGGCAACUAACGAUAAGGGUUGCGCUCGUUGCGGGACUUAACCCAACACCUCACGGCACGAGCUGACGACAGCCAUGCAGCACCUAUAUAGAGACCCUUUCGGGAUAUGUCAUUUCUAACAUAGCUCUCUACAUUUCGAGCCUGGGUAAGGUUCUUCGCGUUGCAUCGAAUUAAACCACAUGCUCCACUGCUUGUGCGGGCCCCCGUCAAUUCUUUUGAGUUUUACUCUUGCGAGCGUACUCCCCAGGCGGCAUACUUAACGCGUUAGCUACGGCACAAUCAGGGUUGAAUCUGACUACACCUAGUAUGCAUCGUUUACGGCGUGGACUAC